This is a long non-coding RNA of Strongylocentrotus purpuratus (purple sea urchin), 309 nucleotides long. RefSeq lists it as uncharacterized. Lineage: Eukaryota; Metazoa; Echinodermata; Echinoidea; Camarodonta; Strongylocentrotidae. The record is from RefSeq and is a predicted model, not a curated record. The transcript has 3 exons.
UACUGCGUGUACGGCGAUUGUGUCGAUGUCGGAUCCUGUGUAUGUAAUCCUGAGUAUUUGGGAAGGUCCUGUGAUAUCAAACGCACAUGUUCGAACGUCACGAUGGAAACUGAAUUCGGACAGGCCAGACUUCCGAUGACUGAAGUUGGAAUCGUUAUUGACUCGGAAGAACUGUGCCCAGAGGAAGAUUCUGAAGGCCUUGCUGCACCAAUUAUAAGAGCUGUUUGUCAAGUUUCUAAUAACGGCACAACUUCUUGGAACGCCAGCAUAAGAUGUCAAGAUUAUGUCACGCGACAAUUAAAGAGAAAA